RNAcentral lists this unclassified non-coding RNA (522 nucleotides) under Hevea brasiliensis (rubber tree). Lineage: Eukaryota; Viridiplantae; Streptophyta; Magnoliopsida; Malpighiales; Euphorbiaceae. The record is from RNAcentral.
UCACCUCUCAAAAAAAAUAAAUAAUAUAACUCAAUAACUAUAGUUUUGUACAACUCUAAUCUAAUACCACAGUCAGGGAUGCUAUAAUAAUCCAAGAGGUUCCCCUUUCUGAUACAUCAUUGAAUCGUCAUCAUUAUAUGCCAUUCAAAUAGGGAUAUUCUACCAAAAAUCCAAUAAAGUCUCCCCUAUAAAUUCAACCUUAAUUUUUAUCUAUGAAUACUGAAUAGUGUCCAACUAAAAUUUUUCUACCAACUUGGCCUCAACCAUUCCCAGCUAAUUUAGUAUUAUGAAUAAAAGUCCUAUCCACCUGUUAAUUUGCAUAUCAUUUAAAUAAAUGAGACUUGGGCACUCACUUGAUCCAUUUCUAAAAUAUGCUUCCAUUUAGGCUUAUAAUGCAUGCAAUCAGAAUAAUAAAUAUGAAAAUAAAAUUUAAACAUCCAAAAUAACACAUGAUCAUGUUCAUGCUCAUGCACAUGACCAAAAUUUCUUACAACUUACCUGUCUUUAUGUCUAGUAGGUCUG